RNAcentral lists this ribosomal RNA (914 nucleotides) under uncultured bacterium. RNAcentral's name for it is "bacterial SSU rRNA". It matches the Rfam family "Bacterial small subunit ribosomal RNA", at positions 9 to 943 of the family's 1533-position model. The record is from RNAcentral.
GAGUUUGAUCCUGGCUCAGGAUGAACGCUGGCGGCGUGCUUAAUACAUGCAAGUCGAACGGAGAGUUAGCAAUAGCUCUUAGUGGCGAACGGGUGAGUAACGCGUUGGUGACCUGCCCCGAAGACAGGGAUAACAGUUCGAAAGGACUGCUAAUACCCGAUGAAGUUACGGUGAUUAGAAGGCUGUAACAAAAGGAGCGAUCCGCUUUGGGAGGGGCCUGCGUCCCAUCAGCUAGUUGGUAAGGUAAAGGCUUACCAAGGCGAAGACGGGUAGGGGACCUGAGAGGGUGAUCCCCCACACUGGCACUGAAACACGGGCCAGACACCUACGGGUGGCAGCAGUAGGGAAUAUUGCACAAUGGGCGAAAGCCUGAUGCAGCAACGCCGCGUGCGCGAAGAAGGCCUUCGGGUUGUAAAGCGCUUUUCUGGGAGAUGAGGAAGGACAGUAUCCCAGGAAUAAGGCUCGGCUAACUACGUGCCAGCAGCCGCGGUAAAACGUAGGAGCCAAGCGUUAUCCGAAUUCACUGGGCGUAAAGCGCGUGCAGGCGGCCCGAUAAGUUGGAUGUGAAAUCUCCUGGCUCAACUGGGAGAGGCCGUUCAAUACUGUUGGGCUCGAGGGCGACAGAGGGAGGUGGAAUUCCGGGUGUAGUGGUGAAAUGCGUAGAUAUCCGGAGGAACACCAGAGGCGAAGGCGACCUCCUGGGUCGUACCUGACGCUCAGACGCGAAAGCUAGGGGAGCGAACGGGAUUAGAAACCCCGGUAGUCCUAGCCGUAAACGAUGUAGACUGGGUGUCGGCGGGGUAAAAGCCGUCGGUGCCGAAGCCAACGCGAUAAGUCUACCGCCUGGGGACUACGGCCGCAAGGUUAAAACUCAAAGGAAUUGACGGGGGCCCGCACAAGCAGCGGAGCGUGUG